AUUGAACGCUGGCGGCAGGCCUAACACAUGCAAGUCGAGCGGAUGAAGGGAGCUUGCUCCUGGAUUCAGCGGCGGACGGGUGAGUAAUGCCUAGGAAUCUGCCUGGUAGUGGGGGAUAACGUCCGGAAACGGGCGCUAAUACCGCAUACGUCCUGAGGGAGAAAGUGGGGGAUCUUCGGACCUCACGCUAUCAGAUGAGCCUAGGUCGGAUUAGCCAGUUGGUGGGGUAAAGGCCUACCAAGGCGACGAUCCGUAACUGGUCUGAGAGGAUGAUCAGUCACACUGGAACUGAGACACGGUCCAGACUCCUACGGGAGGCAGCAGUGGGGAAUAUUGGACAAUGGGCGAAAGCCUGAUCCAGCCAUGCCGCGUGUGUGAAGAAGGUCUUCGGAUUGUAAAGCACUUUAAGUUGGGAGGAAGGGCAGUAAGUUAAUACCUUGCUGUUUUGACGUUACCAACAGAAUAAGCACCGGCUAACUUCGU
This 483-nucleotide ribosomal RNA is filed under the name uncultured bacterium. RNAcentral describes it as "partial 16S ribosomal RNA". It matches the Rfam family "Bacterial small subunit ribosomal RNA", at positions 30 to 506 of the family's 1533-position model. The record is from RNAcentral.